GACGAACGCUGGCGGCGUGCUUAACACAUGCAAGUCGAACGGAAAGGCCCUGCUGUUGUGGGGGGCUCGAGUGGCGAACGGGUGAGUAACACGCGAGUAACCUGCCCUUGACUUUGGGAUAACUUCAGGAAACUGGGGCUAAUACCGGAUAGGAGCUCCUGCUGCAUGGUGGGGGUGGGAAAGUUUCGGCGGGUGGGGAUGGACUCGCGGCUUAUCAGCUUGUUGGUGGGGUAGUGGCUUACCAAGGCAUUGACUGGUAGCUGGCCUGAGGGGGUGACCGGCCACAUUGGGACUGGAAUACGACCCAGACUCCUACGGGAGGCAGCAGUGGGGAAUAUUGCACAAUGGGAGGAAGCCUGAUGCAGCAACGCCGCGUGCGGGAUGACGGCCUUCGGGUUGUAAACCGCUUUCGCCUGUGACGAAGCGUGAGUGACGGUAAUGGGUAAAGAAGCACCGGCUAACUACGUG
RNAcentral lists this ribosomal RNA (468 nucleotides) under uncultured bacterium. RNAcentral's name for it is "partial 16S ribosomal RNA". It matches the Rfam family "Bacterial small subunit ribosomal RNA", at positions 28 to 507 of the family's 1533-position model. The record is from RNAcentral.